This 372-nucleotide ribosomal RNA is filed under the name uncultured organism. RNAcentral's name for it is "bacterial SSU rRNA". It matches the Rfam family "Bacterial small subunit ribosomal RNA", at positions 526 to 896 of the family's 1533-position model. The record is from RNAcentral.
CGGAGGGUGCGAGCGUUGUCCGGAAUCACUGGGCGUAAAGGGCGCGUAGGUGGCGCGGUGAGUCAACGGUGAAAGCUCGACGCUCAACGUCGAGUCGGCCGUCGAUACUGCCGCGCUGGAGCACUGUAGAGGCAGAUGGAAUUCCGGGUGUAGCGGUGGAAUGCGUAGAGAUCCGGAAGAACACCGGUGGCGAAGGCGGUCUGCUGGGCAGUAGCUGACACUGAGGCGCGACAGCGUGGGGAGCAAACAGGAUUAGAUACCCUGGUAGUCCACGCCGUAAACGAUGGGCACUAGGUGCUUGGGGGAGCGACCCUCUGAGUGCCGACGCUAACGCAUUAAGUGCCCCGCCUGGGGAGUACGGCCGCAAGGCUG